ACAAUGAAGUUAAAAGCAGAGGGCCAUUAUCUAAACAACAUAUCACAUACAGGACCUCCAAGGGAAAUCAGGAAAGACAAAGGAAAAGGUGAACCAGGCUGGAAAGUCAGAGAGGGAAGAAGCAGGAAGCCAAAGAAAAAGGAUCUUUCGUUGCCUCCUCCCUGAAAUGGUACUAUUCCUUCUAUCACCCUGCAAUUCUAUUCCCAUCUUCUGCAAAUAUACAUCAAAGGAGAGGCUCUUCUUGCUGAAUUGAGUAGGAAUCAACACCACCACCACAACCAAUUGAUUUGAGUGAUUUGAAUUGUCCUGCUAGCUUUAAAUUUCUCCUGAGAACCCUGAUCAACUAAGUUCAAAGUCAUAUACCAGUAUAUGAAUUCUGCAGCAAAAAGUCCCAGCAAAGCAGGAUAUUUGCCUACUAUCUAUCAUAUAAUCCAUCCUCUUGGUUAUAGAUAGAGACUUGGCCAACUCAUCAGUAUUCUAUGAUGGUCUCCAUCUAAUUUGAGCUCUUGGAAGGCCUGCUCUGCUUUUAUGAUGCUCCUCAGAAUGUGUUCUGUAUGUGAUGCUAACUUCUGAACCAACUGCAGGAUUUGAUUCAAUUCUUGCAGAAUUCAGAAAAGGACCUAAAAUGCCAUGAUCAGUUCAGAGACCACCUGAUUUUAUCACAGGCUCAACUGCAAAUACUUGUGCUUCCUACUCUCUCAGAAAAUCCACAAAUGACUUCAAGUUUCUUGCUCGCUUGCUUAUUUCGUAGAAUGGGAUGAAGUUUGUAGGAGUAGGCAACCUUUUGGUAGUCGUGCAUGUUGGAAUGAAAACAACAAAGAAUCUUGUAGCACUUUAAAGACUAGCAAAAUCAAUGUGCUUUCCAGGAUAACAGCCUACUGCAACAGAUGCUGCCGCCCACAAAAUGUUAUGCCAUAAUAAAGCCAUUAGCAUUUAAGAUGCCAUAAGA
Molecule: non-coding RNA, 949 nt
Organism: Pantherophis guttatus
Lineage: Eukaryota; Metazoa; Chordata; Lepidosauria; Squamata; Colubridae
Source: RefSeq, a predicted model, not a curated record